UCUCUCUCUCUCUCUCUCUCUCUCUCUCUCUCUGCACCUUUCAUCUCACGCUCCCCCUGCCUCAUCUACCAACAUGUAUUCAUGUAAGCCAAAAUCUCCCCAAACCGGAAAGAGCAAAUCCACCGACGCAUUAUUGUCGAGUUCAAUUGAUCGAUCAAAGGUAAAUUACUAAACCACUAUAUUUUUAUCUUGGAUUUGGAUUUUUGGUGGGUUCCAGCUUCAGAAAUCCCUAUGAAACACAUACUUUUGGUGUAAUUCUCGCUGAGCCUGUUGAUGGCUGAGAUGAACUUGCUCCCUUAGAGACUGUGUAUGAGAAAAAACAAUAGUAAAUCCAAUGCGUUUUGUUAGGGAAAACCAAUUAGCAUUACUUCCCGCCUUGAAAUCAAUUUCUCCAUAAUCGUAAUUUUAGGCUGUUUGUGUAAGAUUUUUUUUUUUCCGAACACCCCUAUUAGUUGUAGCAAUUAGAAGUUAAAAUCUGAUCAAAAUUGACCCUCAGAAGAACAGUGGCUACAGAGUAAUGGAUUUUCAAAGGGUUGACAAAAGUGUCGGCGGUCAACAUCAGAACUUCAGGGUACUGUUCUUAUAAGUGUUGCAAAUAUUCGCUCGACCCUAUUCCUAGCUCGCUCAUGCAUUGAGUCAACAUUGCCGUUAAGGACUCCAAAUGGCGAUAUGCGGCACCACCACGGACUACGUCAAUUUGCAACUUUCAAUUCCUUGAAGCAUCUGUUUCUUUUUCAUAAGAAUUUACCUUUUCUGAGUUUAUGGCGACAUCUGGUAGGGUUUGGCCCCGACCACAGAUUAAGGUUGACCAUUGAAAUUCCGGCAAAAUUCGAUUAAGUUUCCAUCCUUCUUUUGUCGUGCGAUGUCUCAUCCCUCACACGAAAGGUAUGGAUCUUGAAACCCGAACUCCUCUUUUACACAACAUGGUUGUAGUUGAUCACAAUAUUGGUUUAUAAUUUUGCUCGGUGAGUGGUUAAUAUCUAGCUGGAAUGGAAAUAACAACAUGAGAUUCACCUUUUUUUUUGGUGCUAAUGAUGUUUUAUAGCUUGAAACUCAUAUGAGUCAUCAUCUUCAGGAACUGUAUUUUAUUUAGGGAUACGAAUGAGAUUGAGGACAACUAGCAUCUAUGGAAGCAAGACGGGGUGUUUUUCCACGCUCGAGGAUAUGGAUUUUACCGUUUUAUUGCCAUGCUCAAUGGUAAUGUUUAGAAUUGGCUUUAGCAUGUUCCAUGACCGUCUUUAUUUGCUGAUUCAAAUUGAACAAGUCAAUGAAUAUGCUUGAGUUAUUCUUUUCUGCAUAGUUAGUUUCAUUGGGCAGGGGUUCAUACAUUGCA
Molecule: long non-coding RNA, 1333 nt
Organism: Rhododendron vialii
Lineage: Eukaryota; Viridiplantae; Streptophyta; Magnoliopsida; Ericales; Ericaceae
Exons: 4
Source: RefSeq, a predicted model, not a curated record